UGAUUUUGAGGGUUAAACUCUUUAAAGUAGAAAGCAUCUUAUGUUUAAAUAAUAUCUUGGAUAUGCUCUAAGGGCUCUUAGAUAUAUCUCGAUUGAGAUUGCAAUGGUCAAUUUUUUGUUUUUAAUAAUUCGGCCAUCGUUAUCAUUCUCCAAGACCAUUUGUCAUGUAUAGCAACUUGAGACAGUUACUGGGUCCAAUUAUACUGCUGGGGUAGCUUUCAACCAAAUUGAUAUUUGUCUACUUGGAGUUUGGUAUUAUCGCCAUACUACCACCCUCCUUGUAAUUAUCUAAUUGUUUAAUGUGGAAAUCACUUUACCAAACUUCCAUUACAUGAAAAAUCAGAAGUUUCAGGCUUUCAGCACGGUGGGUGUCUUUGACACUAAACUUCUAAUCCAUCAGUGCUCUAACUCUCCUUAAUCUAAAUAAUUAUCAAAAAAAUAAAAACUACAUAUAGAAAGCAAUGCAUACAGAAUUAAUCGACAUCUAUUCAUUUAAAGAAUAAUUAUCUAUUAAAUUAGGAAAAAUCUCCAUAAAUCAAUACGAUUACCUACAUUUUUCACUACCUUGCUGUCUUCUCCAAAAAAAAAAAAAAAGAAUUUUGAAAACAUCUAUUGAAUUAGGAAAAAUCUCCACAACUUGGAUUCAGUGACUUCAACACGGUUAUAUACAUAGUUCACUAUCUUACUUUCUUCUCCACUGAAUUGAACUUCAGUUUUUAAAAUCGAAACCAAAAAAAAAAAAAAAAAAAAAAAAAAAAAAAAAAN
This 765-nucleotide long non-coding RNA is filed under the name Olea europaea (common olive). RNAcentral's name for it is "long non-coding RNA (OEUR_LNC005162)". The record is from RNAcentral. Lineage: Eukaryota; Viridiplantae; Streptophyta; Magnoliopsida; Lamiales; Oleaceae.